RNAcentral lists this unclassified non-coding RNA (271 nucleotides) under Hevea brasiliensis (rubber tree). Lineage: Eukaryota; Viridiplantae; Streptophyta; Magnoliopsida; Malpighiales; Euphorbiaceae. The record is from RNAcentral.
AACAUACAAGCUAUUUAUAACAGAAACCUCAUCGAAGCAAAACAAAAACCAUGCACGGUAAUAACAUCUGACCAUACUCGGAGGAUCUUCUCAUCCUAGAUGUGCCCCAAGAGCCUCCAUGUAGACCAACUUGAAGUCGAGCCAUCAGAUCCUUUGAUGGUAUUCUUUAACAUCACACUCGCACCUUUUGGAUCAGCCUCCUAGUCUGCACCCCGCGGUCCAACAUCACAGUUCUCCUCACAUCAUGCAUCAAUGAAUCUCGAUACUUUCA